This 83-nucleotide small RNA is filed under the name Flavobacterium sp. 9R. RNAcentral describes it as "Flavo-1". It matches the Rfam family "Flavo-1 RNA". The record is from RNAcentral. Lineage: Bacteria; Pseudomonadati; Bacteroidota; Flavobacteriia; Flavobacteriales; Flavobacteriaceae.
AUUUAGCAAAUCUAAAGGAUGGAAGUGGCAUCCUGUAGCGCUGGGGUUCAGCGCUACAGAUAUAACGUACAGCGGGAAUAAUG